UAGCUAGUUGGUGAGGUAACGGCCCACCAAGGCGACGAUCGGUAGCCGGACUGAGAGGUUGAACGGCCACAUUGGGACUGAGACACGGCCCAGACUCCUACGGGAGGUAGCAGUGGGGAAUAUUGCACAAUGGGGGAAACCCUGAUGCAGCGACGCCGCGUGGAGGAAGAAGGUCUUCGGAUUGUAAACUCCUGUUGUUGGGGAAGAUAAUGACGGUACCCAACAAGGAAGUGACGGCUAACUACGUGCCAGCAGCCGCGGUAAAACGUAGGUCACAAGCGUUGUCCGGAAUUACUGGGUGUAAUGGGAGCGCAGGCGGGAAGACAAGUUGGAAGUGAAAUCUAUGGGCUCAACCCAUAAACUGCUUUCAAAACUGUUUUUCUUGAGUAGUGCAGAGGUAGGCGGAAUUCCCGGUGUAGCGGUGGAAUGCGUAGAUAUCGGGAGGAACACCAGUGGCGAAGGCGGCCUACUGGGCACCAACUGACGCUGAGGCUCGAAAGUGUGGGUAGCAAACAGGAUUAGAUACCCUGGUAGUCCACACCGUAAACGAUGAUUACUAGGUGUUGGAGGAUUGACCCCUUCAGUGCCGCAGUUAACACAAUAAGUAAUCCACCUGGGGAGUACGACCGCAAGGUUGAAACUCAAAGGAAUUGACGGGGGCCCGCACAAGCAGUGGAGUAUGUGGUUUAAUUCGACGCAACGCGAAGAACCUUACCAAGUCUUGACAUCCCUUGACAGGCAUAGAAAUAUGUUUUCUCUUCGGAGCAAGGAGACAGGUGGUGCAUGGUUGUCGUCAGCUCGUGUCGUGAGAUGUUGGGUUAAGUCCCGCAACGAGCGCAACCCUUAUGGUCAGUUACUACGCAAGAGGACUCUGGCCAGACUGCCGUUGACAAAACGGAGGAAGGUGGGGAUGACGUCAAAUCAUCAUGCCCUUUAUGACUUGGGCUACACACGUACUACAAUGGCGUUAAACAAAGAGAAGCAAGACCGCGAGGUGGAGCAAAACUCAGAAACAACGUCCCAGUUCGGACUGCAGGCUGCAACUCGCCUGCACGAAGUCGGAAUUGCUAGUAAUCGUGGAUCAGCAUGCCACGGUGAAUACGUUCCCGGGCCUUGUACACACCGCCCGUCACACCAUGAGAGCCGGGGGGACCCGAAGUCGGUAGUCUAACCGCAAGGAGGACGCCGCCGAAGGUAAAACUGGUGAUUGGGGUGAAGUCGUAACAAGGUAG
RNAcentral lists this ribosomal RNA (1232 nucleotides) under metagenome. Its description in RNAcentral is "bacterial SSU rRNA". It matches the Rfam family "Bacterial small subunit ribosomal RNA", at positions 242 to 1499 of the family's 1533-position model. The record is from RNAcentral.